CGGGCUUCCUAAGUGGAAGAAAUAUCAGAAGGGAUUUGCAGUGCUGAAAAGUAGAAGCUGUUCUACCUAAGUGUAUGCAUGCGUGCCUGUGUGUGUUUAUGCAUGUGUGUGUCUGUGUAUAUAGACAUAAAUAAUUAGACUUGUAGUUGGCAUAACGCAUAAUGCCUGCUCAUGCUGUUGACAGUUACUUAAUAAUGCACGCUCUCCCAUUCUCUCCAGCUGAAUUCUUAAGGCAUUACCAUGGGAAUUUUCCCUUUCUGGGGAUUGUAACAGAGCUCCAGGACUAGUUGUUUUUGUGAUGUGCUUCUUGACUGGCUGGAGCGGCCCUUAUUCAGGAACUCCAUCCAAGCAUCUCCUGCAGAGAAUGAAACCAUCAGCUGUCCUCGAAGCGGUGCUCCAUACUGCGGUGACACACAACGGUGAGUCGUGCGGUGGUUGGAUCUUGGAUUUUAACAUGCUCAAAGCAGAGCCAGGAGCAUCCAUCUCACCGUAUCGCCGCAUGAAGUGGGAUACAUCAAACGCGUCCUUCGGAGAGGAGCAGUGCUGACCUUAUGACACCCAGAGGAGACUAUCUGCUGUCCUACCAGCGAUGAGGAAUUGGCACAGCUCUGCUGGGCUCGAGGAGAGAGAAAUACUGAGCUUUCAAGAGCUGCUGCACUGCAUCCCACUACAACAUGAGGAGCCCUUAGGUGCAGGAAGAUUCUCAGUGAGAACAAUUGUUUUUGAGUGGAGAAGCUAUUGUGUGGUGCUGGGAAGAACUUUGGCAUUAAAAGCAAACCCAAAUUCCUUCCAGAGUAACCUGGAGAAGCUCAGAAACCCUCUGCUACUCACCUCCCAGCCUCAGGCUGCAAGGCAAGUGGUGAAUUUGCUGAUAAUUCAUAUUCGAUUAGCUUUAAUAUGUUCUAAUUCACUGGUAGGAGCGAGAGAGGCCUGGUGGGCUGCAGACAGAUAUCGCACUGAUUAGUUUUUCCUUUUGAUAAGCUGCCAGGUUUGGAGAGGUUCCCUUUCCAUUCUCCCUCUUCCAGCUGUGCACUGCAUUCCUUCUCCUCUGUCUCCAAACCCAAGCAAGGAGAUGCAAAGUGCUGUUAACACGGCCAUCACGUUGCUGCCCUGUGCAGUUGGAGCGAUGGUGGCUCUGAGGUGGCCCAUGGUGCUGGCAGGUAUUUUGGUGGCAGUCCGUGGAUUCAGGAGCGUGCAGGUGGUGCCCUUUUGCUGGAAGGCAAUAGCCCAAACCUCUUACAAAAUGAUGUACGCACCCUCAGUGCACCACGAAGUGUCAUUGUUUCAUGUACUCAGCACAGAGCGUUGUCCUGCUUGUUGUUUGCAAAACGCAUCACGUCUUAUUUUCCAAAACUGUGUUAUAUAUGGUGGUUUUCAUUAUUAUUAAAACGUGCAAACGUGUUAUUCAAAUAAAACUAAGUAAAAUGUAGUUUGUAAGUCCUCC
This 1444-nucleotide long non-coding RNA is filed under the name Phasianus colchicus (ring-necked pheasant). RNAcentral's name for it is "lncRNA (ENSPCLG00000006248.1)". Lineage: Eukaryota; Metazoa; Chordata; Aves; Galliformes; Phasianidae. The record is from RNAcentral.